RNAcentral lists this ribosomal RNA (253 nucleotides) under uncultured microorganism. RNAcentral describes it as "partial 16S ribosomal RNA". It matches the Rfam family "Bacterial small subunit ribosomal RNA", at positions 524 to 776 of the family's 1533-position model. The record is from RNAcentral.
UACGUAGGGGGCGAGCGUUGUCCGGAUUUACUGGGCGUAAAGGGCGCGUAGGCGGAUCUGUAAGUCAGAUGUGAAAUCCUGCGGCUUAACCGUAGAACUGCCUUUGAUACUGCAGAUCUUGAGUUCGGAAGAGAAUAGCGGAAUUCCAGGUGUAGCGGUGAAAUACGUAGAUAUCUGGAAGAACACCAGUGGCGAAGGCGGCUACUUGGUUCGCUACUGACGCUGAGGCGCGAAAGCGUGGGGAGCAAACAGG